Cricetulus griseus (Chinese hamster) is the source of this 4177-nucleotide non-coding RNA. NCBI's taxonomy places the organism in Eukaryota, Metazoa, Chordata, Mammalia, Rodentia, Cricetidae. The record is from RefSeq and is a predicted model, not a curated record.
GUGGCGCCGAGCCAAUCGGAAGUGGUCCAGUCUCUGCGCCGGAGCUUGCUGUGCAAGCCUUGGCUGCCUUAGCAGGACGCGCGUGCACAAGGAGGCCCGCGGAGCCCUGCCAUGCAGCUCCCAAAGGACGCUACCGGGCACAGCCCGCUGGCCUCAGUGUCUAUUAUCCUCCCGGUGCACAAUGCUGAACAGUGGUUGGAUGAGUGCUUGGCAUCUGUUUUGCAGCAAGACUUUGAAGGCACCAUGGAGCUCUCUGUCUUUAAUGAUGCCAGCAAGGACAAGUCUAUGACCAUCAUUGAAAAAUGGAAGAUGAAACUGGAAGAUUCUGGCAUCUCUGUAGUCAUUGGAGGCCAUGACUCUCCUUCUCCAAGAGGAGUUGGAUAUUCUAAAAACCAAGCAAUCGCACAGAGCACAGGGUCUUACCUUUGUUUUUUGGAUUCAGAUGAUGUUAUGAUGCCCCAGAGAGUGAGGCUGCAACAUGAAGCUGCUGUUCAGCACCCAACGAGUAUCAUAGGAUGCCAAGUGAGGAGAGACCCCUCAGACUCUACAGAGCGAUACACGCGUUGGAUCAACCAGUUGACAUCUGAUCAGCUGUUGACACAGGUGUUCACCUCCCAUGGCCCCACAGUGAUCAUGCCCACCUGGUUCUGCUCUCGGGCCUGGUUUUCCCAUGUGGGCCCAUUUGAUGAAGGAGGACAGGGGGUACCAGAGGACCUGCUGCUCUUCUAUGAGCACCUCAGGAGAGGGGGCGGUGUAUUCCGGGUGGACCACAAACUGCUCCUCUACCGCUACCACCCGUAUGCUGCCACACAUUCAGUCCUUGAGAUGACCAUCUGGACCCACCGUGUUCACUUCCUAGAGGAACAGGUCCUGCCUCGUUGGAAGUCCUUCACCAUUUGGAAUGCAGGCAAGCAGGGGCGACGGUUAUACCGCAGCCUGACUGCAGCCAGCCGGCGCAAGGUGAUGGCCUUCUGUGAUGUUGAUGAGAACAAGAUCAGGAAGGGCUUCUACUGCCACGAGGACUCUGAGGAAAGGCCCAAGCCGAAGGUCCCCAUCCUGCACUUCCAAGCUGCCCAGUCACCCUUUGUCAUCUGUGUGAAGCUGGACCUCACAGGGGGUGAGUUUGAAGACAACCUGAAGUCACUGCACUUGCAGGAAGGCCAGGACUUCGUUCACUUCAGCUGAGGCUGCUGCCAGGGUUUUUCUAUGUGGUCCUGGAACUCACUAUGCAGACUGUCAUCCAACUCACAGAGAUCUGCCUGCCUCUGCUGGAAUUAAAGGCUCAGCCUACAGCACCUGUGAAUCACACCCCAACACCCCCUUCUGCACUUCUUCUAAGUCAAGUCUCUAAAGCCAUUAAAACAGAGGAAAGACCACAUGGCCCUUGCAGCAGCAAAAUAAAAGCUAGAUGACAUCCACUUGGUUGCAUCCUGAUGGCGCUGUGACCCUUGCACACCAAACAUUCUCCCACCUGAAGCUCCCAGGGUGUGUCCUCAACCCUAUGUGAAGCGGAGAGGUGGCCCUGAGCACUUGAGGGUUAGAAAUGCCUCCCCUCUUUCCAAGAGAAAGCGGCACCAGGCUCAGGCAGGCCCUACUUACCAGGCUGUGUCACUGAGCACAGACAUGACCUCGUCAAGCACAUCGGCAUCUACCAAGUCGCUAUAAGUGAGCACCAUCUCGUACACCUGGCUUGCUGUGGUCUUCCGGAUCUGGGACAAGAACAGCAGGUCAACAGGAGGAAAACCUGUCAACACCCAGGAAGCCCAAGGGGUCUUAGGAGGAUCCAUAAAAGGAGGGAGGUGAACUUGGUUACAGCCCAGAUACCUCUGUCGUCAGACAGGCACCAGGGAAGGAACUGCAGCCUUUGUCAGAAGAUGCAGUAGAGAAUCCUACCUGAGAAUCUGUCUCUCUCGCUCUUUUUUGGUUAUGUCCUGUGACAAACUGUUUCGUAUGAGGUGUAAUCUACCCCUAGUAAUGAGCAUUUCUGACAAAGAGGCUGAGCUGUGGGUCAUCCCAAUCCUUUGCACAAGUUCCCCUGACUUUUUAGAAAAAAAAAAAAAUGUCACCUUUGGGAUACUUAAGAGUUUUUGGAUAAGAGAGGGAAAUCCUAACCCUGCUGCUAACACCCCACCCUUAGCAAUGCUUCCCCCAUGCUCACCUUACAAGUACCAGCACCCACAUUCCUUUCAUACAAACGCUAGCCAAUUGACUAACAUAUCCCAGGGCUGCCCACACCAUCUCACCCUGUGUUUACUUCAAAGUUAUACUCAUCUUUAAAGGCCACAAGUAAGCAAGACCUUAGAUGGUCUUGAGGUAGGACAGACACUCACCACAGGGAAAGGGUGGCCAAGGAGGAGGAACAGUUGCAGAAGAACCUUCUUUCUCACAUCACCGUUGAACUGUACCAUCCCACAGAGCCUGCAGAAGAACCACAGGUGACAUGGAACUGUACCCUACUCACAUUGUUACCCAAGGACCCAAGACACAUGGGAGACCUACAAAGUAGACAGCAUAAACCUCGAGCCAUGUGCUAAUAUAUGUGUACACACCUGUACAUUGCACACCAGUGUGCUCCCAUGUGAUAUACACAGCCAUUAUGCAAGUGUGCAUUGUAAACUACCACGCUCCCAUGUAGUUACCUAUACAUGAUGAAUGAUGAUAUCUUGGUGCUAACAUGUGCCUGCGUGUCCAGAUUCCUGCAUUCCCAUGUGUGCGUGUGCCCAGAUCCCUGCACCAGCACAGGAGUAUUCACAUUCCUUGGGCAUCCACAGGGGCCGGUACCUCUCUUCCUAAAUGCCAUUACUGAUGGGAGUACUCUGAACUUAACUUUCCUAGAUGAACACUCACUCUAUUUUAAACAGCUUUGCAAUUAAAACUAUUUUCUACCAAGAACUACAAAGUCCCUCCUAUUUCCGUCUCCACCCAGGAGCACUUAAAACUCACACUGCAAUGCUUGACCGAAGUUUCUGGAUGUCUUUUGACUUUCUGAUUUCUUCCUUACAAAGUGCGAGCAACUUCACACAAAAGGGGUGGCUUGAAGGAGAAAACAUGAUUGUAAGUACAUCUUUCACAGGAAUACACAGCAAUAUGAUUCAUGCUGCAGUAGCAUCCAGUGAUGCUGGGCCCUGUGGAACCAGCCACUUUCUUUGGUUCCCAACACGAACAGCAGAGAACAGAUGUCCUAGCUCAUUUCCUGUAAGAUAUCCCAUAUCACCCAUGGUAGUCAACACCUGGGCAGGCAGGCCCGGGCACAGUUAGGUCUGACCGUGUCCAAGUGGCUCUUCCCAACAGAAAAUACCCCACCAGCAAGUGCUACUUCAAGGAGAGAAGCCCUAUGAGGGGUCUUGGUUACAGAGGAGGACAGUGAGUCCUAUUCAUCCCCAAUGACCUUAAUACUGGGCUACCACACCAGGAUAGUCCAUGACAAUUAAUUCCCAGGUCAACCCUGGUGUGAAGAGAAUGCUGCUGUACCCUGGGACUUUGAUCUGGGUCCCAUGGAUCUCAAUCCUUCCCUGACUACGAAUGUCAUAUUGCUGAGGGCUUUGGCUAUUGUUGUUCCCAGCUUGCACAAGGACCUGUGCAUCCUUAGCUGGUCUUCCUAUAGGGCUCAUGCACUGUCUAUUGCUUUUCUAGACUUAAAGGUCACACACCACAGACACUCUAUGGUCCCAAUGGUCGCAUUCAGGUUUACAUUGAGCUUUGUGAUCUCCAGAAACCUUGUUGGUUCUCAUGCCAGGAUUCCUGAAAGACUCCCAUUGAGCUAAUCCAAGAAGCAUGGGCCCUCCCAUGACUUGGGUCUAAUGAACAUCUCAGCUCUGCCUGUCUGAGUGGAGUGACAUGGCUUCCUGGCCAUACCUGCUACUCUGAAGAUUUCUGAUGUGGAAAGAGACACACAGGCCAGUCAUUUUCAUGGCUCCCUCAUUCUCACAUCUGUCGGCCUCAUGCCCACAGAUUUCCCUGAUGGCUAAGGAUGUCUUUCAGCCAUUUUAGAUUCCUCUGUUGAGAAUUCUCUAUUUAGUUCUAUACCCUACUUUUUAAUUGGAUUGUUUGGUGUUUUGGUGACUAAAUAAAAAGAAAGAAAAAUAACAACAAAAAAAGCUAAAGUACAGUAUAAGCAGAAGCACCUCCAAUACCAAAAAAAAAAAAAAAAAAUCCACCCAUUUGAUGAGUGUCAGCC